UUAACUCUUAAUUUGUAUGAAGUUGGAACGUUUGCCUACGUUUGCCGCUAGGGGCGCUGUUCCAACUGCAUACUUUGAGUUC
RNAcentral lists this microRNA precursor (82 nucleotides) under Bombyx mori (domestic silkworm). RNAcentral's name for it is "mir-2807 microRNA precursor family". It matches the Rfam family "mir-2807 microRNA precursor family". The record is from Rfam by way of RNAcentral. Lineage: Eukaryota; Metazoa; Arthropoda; Insecta; Lepidoptera; Bombycidae.